UUGACCUCAAAUCAGGUAGGACUACCCGCUGAACUUAAGCAUAUCAAUAAGCGGAGGAAAAGAAACUAACAAGGAUUCCCCUAGUAACUGCGAGUGAAGCGGGAAAAGCUCAAAUUUGAAAUCUGGCAGUCUUUUUUUUCUUCUUUGGCUGUCCGAGUUGUAAUCUAGAGAAGUGCUUACCUGCACUG
Molecule: ribosomal RNA, 188 nt
Filed under: Amanita sp. 'kryorhodon'
Lineage: Eukaryota; Fungi; Basidiomycota; Agaricomycetes; Agaricales; Amanitaceae
Also listed under: 1 other name
Description: partial 28S ribosomal RNA
Rfam family: Eukaryotic large subunit ribosomal RNA
Source: RNAcentral